Molecule: ribosomal RNA, 119 nt
Filed under: Aotus nancymaae (Ma's night monkey)
Lineage: Eukaryota; Metazoa; Chordata; Mammalia; Primates; Aotidae
Source: RNAcentral
GUCUAUGGCAUACCACCCUGAAUGCGCCCGAUCUCAUCUGAUCUGGUGAAGCUAAGCAGGGUUGGGCCUGGUUAGCACUUGGAUGGGAGACCGCCUGGGAAUACCGGGUGCUGUACAGG